RNAcentral lists this long non-coding RNA (787 nucleotides) under Rattus norvegicus (Norway rat). RNAcentral's name for it is "long non-coding RNA NONRATT018350". The record is from RNAcentral. Lineage: Eukaryota; Metazoa; Chordata; Mammalia; Rodentia; Muridae.
GCCCAACCACUAUCUCCUGGGUUCCACACGAGUGGUCAGGGCUUAUGUGGAAGCUUAGGGCUUGGAUUUCUGGGAACGAAGGGCCAUCCCAAGAUCGAGCAAGAAACUCUGGCCCUCUACCUUAAAUAGUCUCCCUCCCACUCUAGUUAGCAUCUAUUGUUGCUGAGACCUGCUUGCCCUAAGACUGUCUGGAUAUGUUGGGUGCUUUGCAGGAAAUCCAAGCCUUAGGUUCCCUUCUGUCUCUGGCAGUCGGAUGUUCUCUUGGUGUCCUUCAUGUCCUUUUGAACUUUUCCCUGUGUCCAUUGUUAGCAUGUGCAAAAAAGUUCUUGUCAUUCCCCACCCCUGCCCUUCCCCGCCUCCUCAUUUCAGGGCUGCAUACAGUGAGUGUCCUGUUCUCUCUCUCUGUUUGGAUGUAUUGCUCUGUGUAACUCAGUGGAUCUCCCUCUUUCUGGUUUGUUUUUUUUUCUAGAUUCCUGCCGUUUGUUCAUCGUUGUGCCUAAAGCAUGUCGAUGUGGCGUCAAGUACAUCGUCCAAAUCCCUGUCUCUUCAGCUUCUCUGAUGCUUGAACUCUCACCUUUGACCUUGUGUUGACCUUUGAUGCUGAUGUGUAUUUUAUUAUGUUUGUUUCUUUCUUUGUUUUUUCUUUUUUCUUUCUUUUUUUUCCCUUUUGUGCUGCCAAAAUUGGUUUUGCUAGAACGACUGCUGAAGGGAAAAUAUUUAAACUUGCAUUUGAAUAUAAAAAAAAUCUAUUUUUCUAGAACUUCCUAAGAUAACCACUUGAUUUUGU